CGGAGGAAAAGAAACCAACAGGGAUUGCCUCAGUAACGGCGAGUGAAGCGGCAAAAGCUCAAAUUUUAAAGCUGGCACCUUCGGUGUCCGCGUUGUAAUUUUGUGAGGCAUCUCCGGGUAGGGCGCCGGCCUAAGUUCCUUGGAACAGGACGUCAUAGAGGGUGAGAAUCCCGUGCUUGGCUGGCUGUCCCCGUCCAUGUGAGGUGUCUUCGACGAGUCGAGUUGUUUGGGAAUGCAGCUCAAAAUGGGUGGUAAAUUUCAUCUAAAGCUAAAUAUUGGUGGGAGACCGAUAGCGCACAAGUAGAGUGAUCGAAAGAUGAAAAGCACUUUGAAAAUAGAGUUAAAAAGUACGUGAAAUUGUUGAAAGGGAAGCGCUUGAGACCAGACUUCGGUGGGGAGUGAUCAGCUGUCCUUCUGGGCGGUGCACUUGCUCCCCUCCGGGCCAGCAUCGGUUGGGACGGCGGGAUAAAGGUCCCGGGAAUGUGGCUCCUCUCGGGGAGUGUUAUAGCCCGGGUGAAUGCCGCCAGCCCCGACCGAGGACCGCGCCUUCGGGCUAGGAUGCUUGGCAUAAUGGUCUUCAGCGACCCGUC
RNAcentral lists this ribosomal RNA (590 nucleotides) under Morchella esculenta. Its description in RNAcentral is "partial 28S ribosomal RNA". It matches the Rfam family "Eukaryotic large subunit ribosomal RNA", at positions 51 to 653 of the family's 3401-position model. Lineage: Eukaryota; Fungi; Ascomycota; Pezizomycetes; Pezizales; Morchellaceae. The record is from RNAcentral.